AUUGAACGCUGGCGGCAGGCCUAACACAUGCAAGUCGAGCGGAUGAAGGGGCUUGCUCCUGGAUUCAGCGGCGGACGGGUGAGUAAUGCGCAGGAAUCUACCUCGUAGUGGGGGAUAACGUCUCGAAAGGGGCGCUAAUACCGCAUACGUUCUGAGGAAGAAAGCAGGGGACCUUCGGGCCUUGCGCUAUGAGAUGAGCUUGCGUCCGAUUAGCUAGUUGGUAGGGUAAAGGCCUACCAAGGCCACGAUCGGUAGCUGGUCUGAGAGGAUGAUCAGCCACACUGGGACUGAGACACGGCCCAGACUCCUACGGGAGGCAGCAGUGGGGAAUAUUGGACAAUGGGCGCAAGCCUGAUCCAGCAAUGCCGCGUGUGUGAAGAAGGCCUGCGGGUUGUAAAGCACUUUCAGUGGGGAAGAACAGAUUCGGGUCAAUACCCCGGAGCCCUGACGUUACCCACAGAAGAAGCACCGGCUAACUCCGUGCCA
RNAcentral lists this ribosomal RNA (486 nucleotides) under uncultured bacterium. RNAcentral's name for it is "bacterial SSU rRNA". It matches the Rfam family "Bacterial small subunit ribosomal RNA", at positions 30 to 510 of the family's 1533-position model. The record is from RNAcentral.